Molecule: ribosomal RNA, 253 nt
Filed under: uncultured bacterium
Lineage: Bacteria
Description: partial 16S ribosomal RNA
Rfam family: Bacterial small subunit ribosomal RNA
Source: RNAcentral
UACAGAGGGUGCGAGCGUUGUUCGGAAUUAUUGGGCGUAAAGCGCUUGUAGGCGGCCUGUCAAGUCGCGUGUGAAAUCCCCUGGCUCAACCAGGGAAGUGCGCGCGAAACUGGCGGGCUUGAGUGCCGGAGAGGGUCGCGGAAUUCCCGGUGUAGCGGUGAAAUGCGCAGAUAUCGGGAGGAACACCGGUGGCGAAGGCGGUUCUCUGGGCCUUACCUGACGCUGAGGAGCGAAAGCGUGGGGAGCGAACAGG